GAAAUGCGAUAAGUAGUGUGAAUUGCAGAAUUCAGUGAAUCAUCGAAUCUUUGAACGCACAUUGCGCCCCUCGGCAUUCCGUGGGGCAUGCCUGUUCGAGCGUCAUCUACACCCUCAAGCUCUGCUUGGUGUUGGGCGUCUGUCCCGCCUCCGCGCGCGGACUCGCCCCAAAUGCAUUGGCAGCUGUUCCUUGCCCCCCUCUUUGCGCAGCACAUUGCCAUUCGAGGCGGCGGCGGCCCGCGUCCAACAAGCUCAACCCCCCCGUCUUUGACCUCGGAUCAGGUAGUGAUACCCGCUGAACUUAAGC
Molecule: unclassified non-coding RNA, 307 nt
Filed under: plant metagenome
Description: partial contains 5.8S ribosomal RNA, internal transcribed spacer 2, and large subunit ribosomal RNA
Rfam family: 5.8S ribosomal RNA (bases 1-105)
Source: RNAcentral